Molecule: non-coding RNA, 808 nt
Filed under: Cryptotermes declivis
Lineage: Eukaryota; Metazoa; Arthropoda; Insecta; Blattodea; Kalotermitidae
Source: RNAcentral
UGCCAGUUUUAUUCUUGCUGUUUUGUUCAGUGUUGUCUUGCUUUAUAUGUAAGUUCUUGCGGGUUUUGUUGUCUUCUUGAUGGGGUUAUUAAGAGGAUUCAUUUUGUUAAUUCGCAUUAAUUGAUUUUAUAGAUCUUGGCUUCUUGGAUUUAGUAAUGACUUUUAGUGCUGGUUAAGUUUGUGCCAGCAGCCGCGGUUAUACAUUAGGCGCUAUUGAAUAUUCUUGGUUUUGCAGUUGUAUGUUCCUUUGAUGUAGGUUUUAGGGGUGUUAUUUUGUUGGGUGAAAUUUUUAUUUCUGUUUGUUUCCUUAUUCUUUUUUGUAAGCUGUGAGAUCUCUUUUGUAGACUAGGAUUAGAUACCCUAUUAUUUUUGAUGUUAAUUUUUUUUUUCCUGGGUAGUAUUAGUUAUGUUCUUGAAACUCAAAGAAUUUGGCGGUAUUCUAUUCCUUUCAGAGGAAUCUGCCCCUUGAUCGAUAAUCCACGUUGGACCUUUCUUAAUUUUUGUUUGUAUACCGCCGUUGUAAUGAAGAUCUUUUUAGUGUUGUUAAUUUUCUAGUUUCAUUAUUUUGGUUUAUUUCAGGUCAAGGUGCAAUUUGUUUUUAAGUGUGAGGUGGAUUACAAUAUAUUUUUGGAUUUUCGGAUUGUUAGUUGAAAUUUCUUAAUAUGAAGUUGGAUUUGAUUGUAAUUUAUUGAAGAUUGUUUGAAUGAUGUUGGUUCUAGAAUAUGUACACAUCGCCCGUCGCUCUCAUUGUUUUAGUUGAGAUAAGUCGUAACAUAGUGGUCGUACCGGAAGGUGUGGCUGGUUUGAU